GACACUGACAAUGAUGGAGAUCUCGACUGUCUGACCGCUGUCAGAACGAAAUAUGAUAAUGAUGGACCAACUGCUGAUUACGUCUGGGUUCUCAAGGGUCUCAAAGGCCAUGUGAAAAAGAACAUCACGUUUCACUUCGCGAAGGAAGACGCACCUGACAAGGCAUCCGUCUCUGUCGAUGACGAUGACGGUCAAAAGCAGGAAGCUAGAGCCAUCUAUACGGACUACGAGACCUGCGCCGUGUUGGAGAUUCCAUAUAACGGAAAUCCAAGUGCAUUCUAUGGACUACAGACGAAGCCAAAGACAAUGUCCCAACUAAAUGUACCGAGCAAUUCCGAAAGAACUGCGACGUAGAAGUUAUCGCCUACGAUAAGGAGUCUUGCAGUCAAGUAUAAUGGGACGGACCGCAUG
Molecule: long non-coding RNA, 411 nt
Organism: Dermacentor albipictus
Lineage: Eukaryota; Metazoa; Arthropoda; Arachnida; Ixodida; Ixodidae
Source: RefSeq, a predicted model, not a curated record